GKGGGGKGCYWAWAMUGCAAGUCGAACGCUUCUUUCCUCCCGAGUGCUUGCACUCAAUUGGAAAGAGGAGUGGCGGACGGGUGAGUAACACGUGGGUAACCURCCCAUCAGAGGGGGAUAACACUUGGAAACAGGUGCUAAUACCGCAUAACAGUUUAUGCCGCAUGGCAUAAGAGUGAAAGGCGCUUUCGGGUGUCGCUGAUGGAUGGACCCGCGGUGCAUUAGCUAGUUGGUGAGGUAACGGCUCACCAAGGCCACGAUGCAUAGCCGACCUGAGAGGGUGAUCGGCCACACUGGGACUGAGACACGGCCCAGACUCCUACGGGAGGCAGCAGUAGGGAAUCUUCGGCAAUGGACGAAAGUCUGACCGAGCAACGCCGCGUGAGUGAAGAAGGUUUUCGGAUCGUAAAACUCUGUUGUUAGAGAAGAACAAGGACGUUAGUAACUGAACGUCCCCUGACGGUAUCUAACCAGAAAGCCACGGCUAACUACGUGCCAGCAGCCGCGGUAAUACGUAGGUGGCAAGCGUUGUCCGGAUUUAUUGGGCGUAAAGCGAGCGCAGGCGGUUUCUUAAGUCUGAUGUGAAAGCCCCCGGCUCAACCGGGGAGGGUCAUUGGAAACUGGGAGACUUGAGUGCAGAAGAGGAGAGUGGAAUUCCAUGUGUAGCGGUGAAAUGCGUAGAUAUAUGGAGGAACACCAGUGGCGAAGGCGGCUCUCUGGUCUGUAACUGACGCUGAGGCUCGAAAGCGUGGGGAGCAAACAGGAUUAGAUACCCUGGUAGUCCACGCCGUAAACGAUGAGUGCUAAGUGUUGGAGGKUUUCCGCCCUUCAGUGCUGCAGCAAACGCAUUAAGCACUCCGCCUGGGGAGUACGACCGCAAGGUUGAAACUCAAAGGAAUUGACGGGGGCCCGCACAAGCGGUGGAGCAUGUGGUUUAAUUCGAAKCAACGCGAAGACCCUACCAGGUCUUGACAUCCUUUGACCACUCUAGAGAUAGAGCUUUCCCUUCGGGAMAAGUGACAGKGYGCAUGGUUGUCGUCAGCUCGUGUCGUGARAUGUUGGGUUAAGUCCCGCACGAGCGCAACCUUAUUGUUAGUUGC
This 1100-nucleotide ribosomal RNA is filed under the name Enterococcus faecalis. RNAcentral describes it as "bacterial SSU rRNA". The record is from RNAcentral. Lineage: Bacteria; Bacillati; Bacillota; Bacilli; Lactobacillales; Enterococcaceae.